AGUCUCCCUGGGAAACAUGACGAGCUCACCUGAGCUGGGUUCUGAGCUCCAGCGUUUGGGGCUAAAAGUUGCGGACUGGUAGCUGAGGCGGCACGAGAGUAUAGGCGCGCGGGGUCGUUGCCGGGGGCACAGAGUGAGAACAAGCAAGGGAGCCCUGCUGAAUUGCAGCUUAGGAAGCCCUGAAUCCUGGAGACGGAGUUUUGCUCUUGUUGUUCAGGCUGGAGUGCAAUGACGUGAUCUCGGCUCACUGCAACCUCCGCCUCCAGAGUUCAAGCAAUUCUCCUGCCUCAGCCUCCCGAGUAGCUGGGAUUAUAGCAGUGAAGGCAGUGAGGGGCUGUGGUGUGAUUCAGGAGGCUGAGAAUUAUGCAGUGGGUGCUGUCACCUUGAAGACAUCAGCGCGAUCAGCCAGAUCAUCAUGGUACUGCAUUUCCUGGACACGAUCAUAAUUUUCUUAAUACCUCCACCAACAUUUCAAAUAGUGUCUCUAAUGCCCCAGAGAUUUUUAUGCCCCUAAGGUAGUUUUCUUUCUUUUGUGAAGCAGAAGAAGGGAAAUUGUUAAAGCGAAUUAUUUUAACUAAAUUUA
This 583-nucleotide non-coding RNA is filed under the name Pongo abelii (Sumatran orangutan). The record is from RNAcentral. Lineage: Eukaryota; Metazoa; Chordata; Mammalia; Primates; Hominidae.